This 2930-nucleotide ribosomal RNA is filed under the name Escherichia coli. RNAcentral's name for it is "bacterial LSU rRNA". It matches the Rfam family "Bacterial large subunit ribosomal RNA". The record is from RNAcentral. Lineage: Bacteria; Pseudomonadati; Pseudomonadota; Gammaproteobacteria; Enterobacterales; Enterobacteriaceae.
GGGUUGUGAGGUUAAGCGACUAAGCGUACACGGUGGAUGCCCUGGCAGUCAGAGGCGAUGAAGGACGUGCUAAUCUGCGAUAAGCGUCGGUAAGGUGAUAUGAACCGUUAUAACCGGCGAUUUCCGAAUGGGGAAACCCAGUGUGUUUCGACACACUAUCAUUAACUGAAUCCAUAGGUUAAUGAGGCGAACCGGGGGAACUGAAACAUCUAAGUACCCCGAGGAAAAGAAAUCAACCGAGAUUCCCCCAGUAGCGGCGAGCGAACGGGGAGCAGCCCAGAGCCUGAAUCAGUGUGUGUGUUAGUGGAAGCGUCUGGAAAGGCGCGCGAUACAGGGUGACAGCCCCGUACACAAAAAUGCACAUGCUGUGAGCUCGAUGAGUAGGGCGGGACACGUGGUAUCCUGUCUGAAUAUGGGGGGACCAUCCUCCAAGGCUAAAUACUCCUGACUGACCGAUAGUGAACCAGUACCGUGAGGGAAAGGCGAAAAGAACCCCGGCGAGGGGAGUGAAAAAGAACCUGAAACCGUGUACGUACAAGCAGUGGGAGCACGCUUAGGCGUGUGACUGCGUACCUUUUGUAUAAUGGGUCAGCGACUUAUAUUCUGUAGCAAGGUUAACCGAAUAGGGGAGCCGAAGGGAAACCGAGUCUUAACUGGGCGUUAAGUUGCAGGGUAUAGACCCGAAACCCGGUGAUCUAGCCAUGGGCAGGUUGAAGGUUGGGUAACACUAACUGGAGGACCGAACCGACUAAUGUUGAAAAAUUAGCGGAUGACUUGUGGCUGGGGGUGAAAGGCCAAUCAAACCGGGAGAUAGCUGGUUCUCCCCGAAAGCUAUUUAGGUAGCGCCUCGUGAAUUCAUCUCCGGGGGUAGAGCACUGUUUCGGCAAGGGGGUCAUCCCGACUUACCAACCCGAUGCAAACUGCGAAUACCGGAGAAUGUUAUCACGGGAGACACACGGCGGGUGCUAACGUCCGUCGUGAAGAGGGAAACAACCCAGACCGCCAGCUAAGGUCCCAAAGUCAUGGUUAAGUGGGAAACGAUGUGGGAAGGCCCAGACAGCCAGGAUGUUGGCUUAGAAGCAGCCAUCAUUUAAAGAAAGCGUAAUAGCUCACUGGUCGAGUCGGCCUGCGCGGAAGAUGUAACGGGGCUAAACCAUGCACCGAAGCUGCGGCAGCGACACUAUGUGUUGUUGGGUAGGGGAGCGUUCUGUAAGCCUGCGAAGGUGUGCUGUGAGGCAUGCUGGAGGUAUCAGAAGUGCGAAUGCUGACAUAAGUAACGAUAAAGCGGGUGAAAAGCCCGCUCGCCGGAAGACCAAGGGUUCCUGUCCAACGUUAAUCGGGGCAGGGUGAGUCGACCCCUAAGGCGAGGCCGAAAGGCGUAGUCGAUGGGAAACAGGUUAAUAUUCCUGUACUUGGUGUUACUGCGAAGGGGGGACGGAGAAGGCUAUGUUGGCCGGGCGACGGUUGUCCCGGUUUAAGCGUGUAGGCUGGUUUUCCAGGCAAAUCCGGAAAAUCAAGGCUGAGGCGUGAUGACGAGGCACUACGGUGCUGAAGCAACAAAUGCCCUGCUUCCAGGAAAAGCCUCUAAGCAUCAGGUAACAUCAAAUCGUACCCCAAACCGACACAGGUGGUCAGGUAGAGAAUACCAAGGCGCUUGAGAGAACUCGGGUGAAGGAACUAGGCAAAAUGGUGCCGUAACUUCGGGAGAAGGCACGCUGAUAUGUAGGUGAAGUCCCUCGCGGAUGGAGCUGAAAUCAGUCGAAGAUACCAGCUGGCUGCAACUGUUUAUUAAAAACACAGCACUGUGCAAACACGAAAGUGGACGUAUACGGUGUGACGCCUGCCCGGUGCCGGAAGGUUAAUUGAUGGGGUCAGCGCAAGCGAAGCUCUUGAUCGAAGCCCCGGUAAACGGCGGCCGUAACUAUAACGGUCCUAAGGUAGCGAAAUUCCUUGUCGGGUAAGUUCCGACCUGCACGAAUGGCGUAAUGAUGGCCAGGCUGUCUCCACCCGAGACUCAGUGAAAUUGAACUCGCUGUGAAGAUGCAGUGUACCCGCGGCAAGACGGAAAGACCCCGUGAACCUUUACUAUAGCUUGACACUGAACAUUGAGCCUUGAUGUGUAGGAUAGGUGGGAGGCUUGGAAGUGUGGACGCCAGUCUGCAUGGAGCCGACCUUGAAAUACCACCCUUUAAUGUUUGAUGUUCUAACGUUGACCCGUAAUCCGGGUUGCGGACAGUGUCUGGUGGGUAGUUUGACUGGGGCGGUCUCCUCCUAAAGAGUAACGGAGGAGCACGAAGGUUGGCUAAUCCUGGUCGGACAUCAGGAGGUUAGUGCAAUGGCAUAAGCCAGCUUGACUGCGAGCGUGACGGCGCGAGCAGGUGCGAAAGCAGGUCAUAGUGAUCCGGUGGUUCUGAAUGGAAGGGCCAUCGCUCAACGGAUAAAAGGUACUCCGGGGAUAACAGGCUGAUACCGCCCAAGAGUUCAUAUCGACGGCGGUGUUUGGCACCUCGAUGUCGGCUCAUCACAUCCUGGGGCUGAAGUAGGUCCCAAGGGUAUGGCUGUUCGCCAUUUAAAGUGGUACGCGAGCUGGGUUUAGAACGUCGUGAGACAGUUCGGUCCCUAUCUGCCGUGGGCGCUGGAGAACUGAGGGGGGCUGCUCCUAGUACGAGAGGACCGGAGUGGACGCAUCACUGGUGUUCGGGUUGUCAUGCCAAUGGCACUGCCCGGUAGCUAAAUGCGGAAGAGAUAAGUGCUGAAAGCAUCUAAGCACGAAACUUGCCCCGAGAUGAGUUCUCCCUGACUCCUUGAGAGUCCUGAAGGAACGUUGAAGACGACGACGUUGAUAGGCCGGGUGUGUAAGCGCAGCGAUGCGUUGAGCUAACCGGUACUAAUGAACCGUGAGGCUUAACCUUACAACGCCGAAGGUGUUU